Molecule: ribosomal RNA, 486 nt
Filed under: uncultured bacterium
Lineage: Bacteria
Description: partial 16S ribosomal RNA
Rfam family: Bacterial small subunit ribosomal RNA
Source: RNAcentral
AUUGAACGCUGGCGGCAUGCCUUACACAUGCAAGUCGAACGGCAGCACGGGUGCUUGCACCUGGUGGCGAGUGGCGAACGGGUGAGUAAUACAUCGGAACAUGUCCUGUAGUGGGGGAUAGCCCGGCGAAAGCCGGAUUAAUACCGCAUACGAUCUACGGCUGAAAGCGGGGGACCUUCGGGCCUCGCGCUAUAGGGUUGGCCGAUAGCUGAUUAGCUAGUUGGUGGGGUAAAGGCCUACCAAGGCGACGAUCAGUAGCUGGUCUGAGAGGACGACCAGCCACACUGGGACUGAGACACGGCCCAGACUCCUACGGGAGGCAGCAGUGGGGAAUUUUGGACAAUGGGCGAAAGCCUGAUCCAGCAAUGCCGCGUGUGUGAAGAAGGCCUUCGGGUUGUAAAGCACUUUUGUCCGGAAAGAAAUCCUUGGCUCUAAUACAGUCGGGGGAUGACGGUACCGGAAGAAUAAGCACCGGCUAACUACGUG